CUUGGUCAUUUAGAGGAAGUAAAAGUCGUAACAAGGUUUCCGUAGGUGAACCUGCGGAAGGAUCAUUAGUGAACGCCCUCACGGGCUUAUAACUAUUCCAAACCUCUGUGAACCGUGCCCUUCGGGGCUAUUUUACAAACAUGGUGUAAUGAACGUCAUAUAUCAUAACAAAACAAAACUUUCAACAACGGAUCUCUUGGCUCUCGCAUCGAUGAAGAACGCAGCGAAAUGGGAUAAGUAAUGUGAAUUGCAGAAUUCAGUGAAUCAUCGAAUCUUUGAACGCACCUUGCGCCCUCUGGUAUUCCGGAGGGCAUGCCUGUUUGAGUGUCAUGUAGACUCAAUCCCUCGGGUUUCCGAGGAGAUUGGACUUGGGUGUUGCCGCUCUGCCGGCUCGCCUUAAAAGACUUAGUGGGAUAGCACAGUAGUCGGCGUAAUAAGUUUCGUCGGUGAAGGUUGUGAUGACUGCUUACAAUCGCCCUCGGGCAAUUUUUGACUCUGACCUCAAAUCAGGUAGGACUACCCGCUGAACUUAAGCAUAUCAAUAAGCGGAGGA
Molecule: ribosomal RNA, 553 nt
Filed under: uncultured Cryptococcus
Lineage: Eukaryota; Fungi; Basidiomycota; Tremellomycetes
Description: eukaryotic LSU rRNA
Rfam family: 5.8S ribosomal RNA (bases 177-330)
Source: RNAcentral